GAUGAACGCUGGCGGCGUGCCUAAUACAUGCAAGUCGAGCGAACAGACGAGGAGCUUGCUCCUUUGACGUUAGCGGCGGACGGGUGAGUAACACGUAGGUAACCUACCUAUAAGACUGGGAUAACUUCGGGAAACCGGAGCUAAUACCGGAUAAUAUUUCGAACCGCAUUGUUCGAUAGUGAAAGAUGGCUUUGCUAUCACUUAUAGAUGGACCUGCGCCGUAUUAGCUAGUUGGUAAGGUAACGGCUUACCAAGGCAACGAUACGUAGCCGACCUGAGAGCGAGAUCGGACACACUGGAACUGAGAAACGGUCGAGACUCCUACGGGAGGCAGCAGUCGGGAAUCCUACGGGAGGCGGCAAUGCCUGACGGAGCACCGCCGCGUGAGGGAUGAAGGUCUUAGGCUCGUAAAACGAUGUUAGUAGGGAAGUAGUAAAGUGUAAGUAACUGUGAUCGUAAUGACGGUACCGAAUCAGAAAGCCACGGCUAACUACGUG
RNAcentral lists this ribosomal RNA (497 nucleotides) under uncultured bacterium. Its description in RNAcentral is "partial 16S ribosomal RNA". It matches the Rfam family "Bacterial small subunit ribosomal RNA", at positions 28 to 507 of the family's 1533-position model. The record is from RNAcentral.